Molecule: ribosomal RNA, 426 nt
Filed under: uncultured bacterium
Lineage: Bacteria
Description: bacterial SSU rRNA
Rfam family: Bacterial small subunit ribosomal RNA
Source: RNAcentral
UGGGGAAUUGUUCGCAAUGGGCGCAAGCCUGACGACGCAACGCCGCGUGGAGGAUGAAGGUCUUCGGAUUGUAAACUCCUGUUGAUCGGGACGAACAUCCAUCGGGAUAACACCCCGGAGGACUGACGGUACCGGUUGAGGAAGCCCCGGCUAACUACGUGCCAGCAGCCGCGGUAAUACGGAGGGUGCAAGCGUUGUCCGGAAUUAUUGGGCGUAAAGAGCUCGUAGGCGGCUUGUCGCGUCUGCUGUGAAAACCCGGAGCUUAACUCCGGGCCUGCAGUGGAUACGGGCAGGCUAGAGCGCGGUAGGGGAGACUGGAAUUCCUGGUGUAGCGGUGGAAUGCGCAGAUAUCAGGAGGAACACCGGUGGCGAAGGCGGGUCUCUGGGCCGUUGCUGACGCUGAGGAGCGAAAGCGUGGGGAGCGAA